CGGGGUGUAGUUCAGAUGGCUAGAAUGCGCGGCUGGGGGUCGCGAGAUCGCAGGUUCGAGUCCUGUCACCCCGACCA
Molecule: transfer RNA, 77 nt
Filed under: Candidatus Pacebacteria bacterium RIFCSPHIGHO2_01_FULL_46_16
Lineage: Bacteria; Bacillati; Minisyncoccota
Description: tRNA-Pro
Rfam family: tRNA
About the family: Transfer RNA (tRNA) molecules are approximately 80 nucleotides in length. Their secondary structure includes four short double-helical elements and three loops (D, anti-codon, and T loops).
Source: RNAcentral